UACGUAGGGUGCAAGCGUUGUCCGGAAUCAUUGGGCAUAAAGCGCACGUAGGCGGUUCGUUAUGUCGGAUGUGAAAGCCCUUGGCUUAACCGAGGAAGUGCAUCCGAAAUUGGCGAGCUAGAGUACGAAAGAGGAUCGCGGAAUUCCCGGUGUAGAGGUGAAAUUCGUAGAUAUCGGGAGGAACACCGGUGGCGAAGGCGGCGAUCUGGGUCGAUACUGACGCUGAGGUGCGAAAGCGUGGGGAGCAAACAGG
RNAcentral lists this ribosomal RNA (253 nucleotides) under uncultured bacterium. RNAcentral describes it as "partial 16S ribosomal RNA". It matches the Rfam family "Bacterial small subunit ribosomal RNA", at positions 524 to 776 of the family's 1533-position model. The record is from RNAcentral.